RNAcentral lists this ribosomal RNA (498 nucleotides) under uncultured bacterium. RNAcentral describes it as "partial 16S ribosomal RNA". It matches the Rfam family "Bacterial small subunit ribosomal RNA", at positions 28 to 523 of the family's 1533-position model. The record is from RNAcentral.
GUUGAACGCUGGCGGCAUGCCUUACACAUGCAAGUCGAACGGUAACAGGUCUUCGGAUGCUGACGAGUGGCGAACGGGUGAGUAAUACAUCGGAACGUGCCUAGUAGUGGGGGAUAACUACUCGAAAGAGUGGCUAAUACCGCAUGAGAUCUACGGAUGAAAGCAGGGGAUCGCAAGACCUUGUGCUACUAGAGCGGCCGAUGGCAGAUUAGGUAGUUGGUGGGGUAAAGGCUUACCAAGCCGACGAUCUGUAGCUGGUCUGAGAGGACGAUCAGCCACACUGGGACGGAGACACGGCCCAGACUCCUACGGGAGGCAGCAGUGGGGAAUUUUGGACAAUGGGCGCAAGCCUGAUCCAGCAAUGCCGCGUGCAGGAUGAAGGCCUUCGGGUUGUAAACUGCUUUUGUACGGAACGAAAAGCCCCGGGUUAAUACCCUGGGGUCAUGACGGUACCGUAAGAAUAAGCACCGGCUAACUACGUGCCAGCCGCCGCCGUAA